This 347-nucleotide ribosomal RNA is filed under the name uncultured bacterium. RNAcentral's name for it is "bacterial SSU rRNA". It matches the Rfam family "Bacterial small subunit ribosomal RNA", at positions 43 to 376 of the family's 1533-position model. The record is from RNAcentral.
GAAUUCACUAGUGAUUCAGGCCUAACACAUGCAAGUCGAGCGGUAGAGAGAAGCUUGCUUCUCUUGAGAACGACGGACGGGUGAGUAAUGCCUAGGAAUCUGCCUGGUAGUGGGGGAUAACGUUCGGAAACGGACGCUAAUGCCGCAUACGUCCUACGGGAGAAAGCAGGGGACCUUCGGGCCUUGCGCUAUCAGAUGAGCCUAGGUCGGAUUAGCUAGUUGGUGAGGUAAUGGCUCACCAAGGCUACGAUCCGUAACUGGUCUGAGAGGAUGAUCAGUCACACUGUUUCUGGGAGGCGGUCCAGACUCCUACGGGAGGCAGCAGUGGGGAAUAUUGGACAAUGGGC